RNAcentral lists this ribosomal RNA (399 nucleotides) under uncultured bacterium. RNAcentral describes it as "partial 16S ribosomal RNA". It matches the Rfam family "Bacterial small subunit ribosomal RNA", at positions 360 to 776 of the family's 1533-position model. The record is from RNAcentral.
AAUAUUGCACAAUGGGGGAAACCCUGAUGCAGCGACGCCGCGUGAGUGAAGAAGUNUUNNGGUAUNUNAAGCUCUAUCAGCAGNNNNNAUAAUGACGGUCCCUGACUAAGAAGCCCCGGCUAACUACGUGCCAGCAGCCGCGGUAAUACGUAGGGGGCAAGCGUUAUCCGGAUUUACUGGGUGUAAAGGGAGCGUAGGUGGUAUGGUAAGUCAGAUGUGAAAGCCCAGGGCUCAACCCUGGGACUGCAUUUGAAACUAUCAAACUAGAGUGCAGGAGAGGUAAGUGGAAUUCCUAGUGUAGCGGUGAAAUGCGUAGAUAUUAGGAGGAACACCAGUGGCGAAGGCGGCUUACUGGACUGUAACUGACACUGAGGCUCGAAAGCGUGGGGAGCAAACAGG